Molecule: transfer RNA, 73 nt
Filed under: Falco sparverius
Lineage: Eukaryota; Metazoa; Chordata; Aves; Falconiformes; Falconidae
Description: tRNA-Val
Source: RNAcentral
CAGGGUGUAGCUAUAAGACUAAAGCACUCAGCUUACACCUGAGAGACAUCUGUCACCAAUCAGAUCACCCUGA